This 74-nucleotide transfer RNA is filed under the name Nanobdellota archaeon. RNAcentral's name for it is "tRNA-Phe". It matches the Rfam family "tRNA". Rfam says of the family: Transfer RNA (tRNA) molecules are approximately 80 nucleotides in length. Their secondary structure includes four short double-helical elements and three loops (D, anti-codon, and T loops). Lineage: Archaea; Nanobdellati; Nanobdellota. The record is from RNAcentral.
GGGCUUGUAGCUCAGACUGGGAGAGCACACGGCUGAAGACCGUGGUGUCCAGGGUUCAAAUCCCUGCAAGCUCA